This 408-nucleotide ribosomal RNA is filed under the name uncultured bacterium. RNAcentral's name for it is "partial 16S ribosomal RNA". It matches the Rfam family "Bacterial small subunit ribosomal RNA", at positions 29 to 526 of the family's 1533-position model. The record is from RNAcentral.
AGUGAACGCUGGCGGCGCGCCUAAUACAUGCAAGUCGAAGGAAGUGGCGCACGGGUGCGUAAUAUAUAGCUAAUCUGCCCCUUGCUGGAGGACACCAGUUCGAAAUGACUGCUAAUACUCCAUAGCAAGGGAUGAGACUAUAUCGUAUCCGCUAGUCGGUGGGGUAACGGCCUACCGAGGCUACGACGCGUAACUGGACUGAGAGGAUGAUCAGUCAAAUUGGAACGGAGACACGGUCCAAACGCCUACGGGAGGCAACAGUAGUGAAGAUUGCGCAAGGGGGUAAACCCUGACGCAGCAACGCCGCGUGGAAGAUGACUCUUUUCGGAGCGUAAACUCCUUUUGUUAGGGAAGCGGUACCUAACUAAUAAGCACCGGCUAACUCCGGGCCAGCAGCCGCGGUAAUAC